RNAcentral lists this ribosomal RNA (1242 nucleotides) under metagenome. RNAcentral's name for it is "bacterial LSU rRNA". It matches the Rfam family "Bacterial large subunit ribosomal RNA", at positions 1564 to 2817 of the family's 2925-position model. The record is from RNAcentral.
UGAGUACGAGAUGCUACGGCAUCGAAGCAGUCUAUGUCAUACUUCCAAGAAAAGCUUGCACUGUCAGAAACAGAUAAUGCCUGUACCAUAACCGACACAGGUGGGUAGGUAGAGUAUACUAAGGGGCGCGAGAUAACUCUCUCUAAGGAACUCGGCAAAAUGACUCCGUAACUUCGGGAGAAGGAGUGCCUUAUUUUUAAGGUUGCAAUAACAAGAUCCAAGCAACUGUUUACCAAAAACACAGGUCUCCGCUAAGUCGUAAGACGAUGUAUGGGGGCUGACGCCUGCCCAGUGCCAGAAGGUUAAAGAAGUCGGUUAGCAUUCGCGAAGCUGGUAACUGAAGCCCUGGUGAACGGCGGCCGUAACUAUAACGGUCCUAAGGUAGCGAAAUUCCUUGUCGGGUAAGUUCCGACCCGCACGAAAGGCGUAAUGAUUUGGAUACUGUCUCGGAGAGGGGCUCGGUGAAAUAGACUUGUCUGUGAAGAUGCGGACUACCUGCACCUGGACAGAAAGACCCUAUGAAGCUUUACUGUAACUUGAAAUUGAAAUUGGACUUUAUUUGCGCAGUAUAGGUGGGAGGCGUUGAAAAUAUUCUUGCGGGAAUAUUGGAGCCAUCAGUGAGAUACCACUCUUGUAAUGUUAGAUUUCUAACUUUAUAUCAUUAUCUGGUUAAAGAACAGUUUCAGGCGGGCAGUUUGACUGGGGCGGUCGCCUCCCAAAUGGUAACGGAGGCGCACAAAGGUUUCCUCUGAACGGGUAGAAAUCGUAUCUAGAGUGUAAAGGCAUAAGGAAGCUUGACUGUGAGACCUACAAGUCGAGCAGGGACGAAAGUCGGUCUUAGUGAUCUGACGGUGCUGAGUGGAAAGGCCGUCACUCAACGGAUAAAAGUUACUCUAGGAUAACAGGCUGAUCUCCCCCAAGAGUUCACAUCGACGGGGAGGUUUGGCACCUCGAUGUCGGCUCAUCGCAUCCUGGGGCGGUAGUACGUCCCAAGGGUUGGGCUGUUCGCCCAUGAAAGCGGUACGCGAGCUGGGUUCAGAACGUCGUGAGACAGUUCGGUCCAUAUCCGGUGUAGGCGUUAGAAUAUUGAGAGGAGCCUUCUUUAGUACGAGAGGACCGAGAAGGACAUACCUCUGGUGUACCAGUUAUCGUCCAACGGUAAACGCUGGGUAGCUAUGUAUGGAGUGGAUAACCGCUGAAAGCAUCUAAGUGGGAAGCCCACCUCAAGAUAAGUAUUCUCAC